UAUUGCACAAUGGGGGAAACCCUGAUGCAGCGACGCCGCGUGAGUGAAGAAGUAUCUCGGUACGUAAAGCUCUAUCAGCAGGGAAGAAAAUGACGGUACCUGACUAAGAAGCCCCGGCCAACUACGUGCCAGCCGCCGCGGUAAUACGUAGGGGGCGAGCGUUAUCCGGAUUUACUGGGUGUAAAGGGAGCGUAGACGGGAGCGCAAGGCUGGAGUGAAAUGCCGGGGCCCAACCCCGGAACUGCUUUGGAAACUGUGCAGCUCGAGUGCAGGGGAGGUAAGCGGAAUUCCUAGUGUAGCGGUGAAAUGCGUAGAUAUUAGGAGGAACACCAGUGGCGAAGGCGGCUUACUGGACUGUAACUGACGUUGAGGCUCGAAAGCGUGGGGAGCAA
RNAcentral lists this ribosomal RNA (392 nucleotides) under uncultured bacterium. RNAcentral describes it as "bacterial SSU rRNA". It matches the Rfam family "Bacterial small subunit ribosomal RNA", at positions 362 to 771 of the family's 1533-position model. The record is from RNAcentral.